GUCAUGGUCAAGUCACUGUUAUGCUAGCAGGCUGUUAUUCGACGUAAACAACCGCUACAACUUAUAACAGACUGCACAAGAGAGGACUGUGAGUCAUCUUGAGGUCGAAGGUGAAUAUCUCUAGCUUGGGGUUCAGGAGUUGAAACUGCCAAGCUUCUACUAGUCCUUCCCCCUGAAGGUCAAGACGAACCGGACCAACAUCAUCCUUUGUGGGGACAACCACCAGAUGUGUUAACUUCUAAUCUGAGAAUUUUCAUACUGGCCUUCAUGAUUUUUACCACUACACCAAAAAAUUAAGAUGUACAAGUGUUUUGGGUGCAAAAUGUGCUGUUGCGUGAGAGGUGCUGUAACUGUAAAAAACUGGGCUCCAAUUAAGGCCCGUUAGCCCCAGCCCACCGUCCCUGCAUGCUGUCCAAGUGGACCUGGGGGGCUGGAUACUUACCGCUCCCCAAAGCAACUUUUUGUUAACACCGCUAGGUAUCCAGGUCACUCGAGAAAAGGCUGUGAGAAAGGUCUCUUCUUAGGGCCCUUUGUCAGCCUGGGAACAAGCACAAUUUGAGGGGACUGUCAUUUCCCCCUCUGCCGACCUAAAACAGAGAGUCCAUUGACGAACAAAGCAGCCAUAUAACAACGAGAAACCAGUUGCCAGGUCCUUCAUUCCCCAAGGAUAGACCCCAUAAACUCAACUUGGGCUGAGAGUCGAGACUGGCAGAUGCACAUUUUUGUACAGCAAGCUUCUAACAGCCCUUCCCUCUAAAUUUAAUGUAACAACUGAGCAAACAUCAUCCUUACCAGGGAUAAUUGUCAGGUGCAAGAAGCUCUAGGAUAAGCUAGGUGAACCAUGCCCCGUGAACCCCCUAUCUUGGUUCUGCACUCUCAACCAUGCUAACCAUUUUUAUUUAUUUUUUUCUUUUCUAUCUAUUUUCCAGUGUUUGUUGCCCAUUUCAAACCUCAGUCAAUUACAAUCCUACACGCAUAAGAACCGAAAACCAUUUACCAAUCCACUACCGAACACUGAAGUUCAAGCAUGACCUUUGCCCUCCCAAAAAGACCCCACCUAUCCAGAUCCCUUCCCAUUUUGAGAACUUCUUUAUUUUCUCUAUAAGGGAGUAUUCAGAACAGAGAAUGAAUUUGGAUCAUCGUCCCCUCAUAACCCCCACGACCAUCACAACUCCCAUUUUUCAUCCUUUGUUGUUUUCUUUUGUUAUUAUUUCGUUAUUUUAUACAUGGAGUAACCAAAGCUGGCUUAAUUUGAAUUAUUUUUGUUUCCACGCAUAAACAUUGUUUUCUAAAAAACACAAGCAUGUACAUUCAUGCUGCUCACAAAUUAUUGUAGCCCAGUUUGUGCUGAAUACAAUGUUAUCAGACUUUAGCCAU
Sinocyclocheilus grahami is the source of this 1377-nucleotide long non-coding RNA. RefSeq lists it as uncharacterized. The record is from RefSeq and is a predicted model, not a curated record. NCBI's taxonomy places the organism in Eukaryota, Metazoa, Chordata, Actinopteri, Cypriniformes, Cyprinidae. The transcript is spliced from 3 exons.